RNAcentral lists this ribosomal RNA (253 nucleotides) under uncultured bacterium. Its description in RNAcentral is "partial 16S ribosomal RNA". It matches the Rfam family "Bacterial small subunit ribosomal RNA", at positions 524 to 776 of the family's 1533-position model. The record is from RNAcentral.
UACGUAGGGUGCGAGCGUUAAUCGGAAUUACUGGGCGUAAAGCGUGCGCAGGCGGCUAUUUAAGCUUGCUGUGAAAGCCCCGGGCUCAACCUGGGAACUGCAGUGAGGACUGGAUGGCUGGAGUGUGGCAGAGGGGGGUGGAAUUCCACGUGUAGCAGUGAAAUGCGUAGAGAUGUGGAGGAACACCGAUGGCGAAGGCAGCCCCCUGGGCUAACACUGACGCUCAGGCACGAAAGCGUGGGGAGCAAACAGG